Molecule: long non-coding RNA, 283 nt
Organism: Galeopterus variegatus (Sunda flying lemur)
Lineage: Eukaryota; Metazoa; Chordata; Mammalia; Dermoptera; Cynocephalidae
Exons: 2
Source: RefSeq, a predicted model, not a curated record
UGUAGGUGCAUGUGAGGGAACUUUGGCUUGCUCUACUUGUCAUCUUAUCUUUGAAGAUCAUGUAUUUGAGAAGUUAGAAGCAAUCACUGAUGAGGAGAAUGACAUGCUUGAUCUGGCGUUUGGACUAACAGACAGAUCACGGUUGGGCUGCCAAAUCUGUUUGAAAAAAUCUAUGGACAAUAGGACUGUUCGAGUGCCUGAGACAGUGGCCGAUGCCAGACAAUCCAUCGAUAUGAGCAAGAACUCCUAAGCUAGAAUAAAUAGGAAUAUUUUCAAAAUUUUA